UGCGAGUCAACACGUGGGGCGAACGUUCAGAUAACUCUCGUGUCUUUGUUGUGAAUGGAGGGAAAGACAACUUCCAGAGUUGACGCUGUCACUUGAAGAACUCCUCCUCCUCCAGUCUGUCUGUCUGCAGAGCUGCAGUCUGACUCCACACAGCAAAUUGUCACCUUUGUCUUUCAGAUUGAAAUGAAUGCAGUGCAAGAACUAUCUGUGAAGUAUAUCAGAGCGGCCUUCACCUUUUCCCAUUCCAGCCUGUUCCCAUGAUGUGGAAUUGAAGUUACGCAAAGGCAAUGAGGCAUAUGAAAAGACCAAGAAAGAUCAGGGAAGAGUUUCUUCGGAUCACCAACAAGGACCUAAUAGACAACUUCAGAGCAGCCAUUAAUCAGCACACCAAGGCUCCUUAAACUCUAUCGGGCUAGGUGGACAGCUUUCCCACCUGAGAUGGAUCAACUCCUUAACAGACUGGAUAAAG
Sebastes umbrosus (honeycomb rockfish) is the source of this 469-nucleotide long non-coding RNA. RefSeq lists it as uncharacterized. The transcript has 3 exons. The record is from RefSeq and is a predicted model, not a curated record. Lineage: Eukaryota; Metazoa; Chordata; Actinopteri; Perciformes; Sebastidae.